This 214-nucleotide ribosomal RNA is filed under the name uncultured Glomus. RNAcentral describes it as "partial small subunit ribosomal RNA". The stretch from base 38 to 214 matches the Rfam family "Eukaryotic small subunit ribosomal RNA", at positions 684 to 863 of the family's 1831-position model. The record is from RNAcentral. Lineage: Eukaryota; Fungi; Glomeromycota; Glomeromycetes; Glomerales; Glomeraceae.
GAAUCAGUGCGCUGGUCGUGCCUCUGGUAUGCACUGGUGUUACUGAUUUCUCCCUUCUGAAGAACUAUCAUGCCAUUAAUUUGGUGUGGUAGGGAAUCAGGACUGUUACUUUGAAAAAAUUAGAGUGUUUAAAGCAGGCUCACGCUUGAAUACAUUAGCAUGGAAUAAUGAAAUAGGACGUUGAUCUUAUUUUGUUGGUUUCUAGGAUUGACGU